This 477-nucleotide ribosomal RNA is filed under the name Candidatus Scalindua brodae. RNAcentral's name for it is "bacterial SSU rRNA". It matches the Rfam family "Bacterial small subunit ribosomal RNA", at positions 365 to 832 of the family's 1533-position model. RNAcentral also lists the same sequence under 1 other name. The record is from RNAcentral. Lineage: Bacteria; Pseudomonadati; Planctomycetota; Candidatus Brocadiia; Candidatus Brocadiales; Candidatus Scalinduaceae.
UUCGCAAUGCCCGAAAGGGUGACGAAGCGACGCCGCGUGGGUGAGGAAGGCCUUCGGGUUGUAAAGCCCUGUCAGGAGUUAAGAAAUGUAAGUGUGCUAAUAUCGCAUUUACUUGACGAAGGCUCCAAAGGAAGUCACGGCUAACCCUGUGCCAGCAGCCGCGGUAAUACAGAGGUGGCAAGCGUUGUUCGGAAUUAUUGGGCGUAAAGAGCACGUAGGUGGGUUUGUAAGUCAGAUGUGAAAGCCUCCUGUUCAACGGGAGAAUUGCAUCUGAAACUACUGAUCUUGAGUAUAGGAGGGGAGAAUGGAACUUCUGGUGGAGCGGUGAAAUGCGUAGAUAUCAGAAGGAACGCCGGCGGCGAAAGCGAUUCUCUGGCCUAUUACUGACACUCAGUGUGCGAAAGCUAGGGGAGCAAACGGGAUUAGAUACCCCGGUAGUCCUAGCCGUAAACGAUGGGCACUAAGUAGAGGGGUUUU